GAUCAUGGCUCAUGACGAACGCUGGCGGCGUGCUUAACACAUGCAAGUCGAACGAAGAAUGAUGGGAGCUUGCUCCUAUCAAUCUUAGUGGCGAACGGGUGAGUAACGCGUAAUCAACCUGCCCUUCAAUGGGGGACAACAGUUGGAAACGACUGCUAAUACCGCAUACGAUCGUAAUUCGGCAUCGAGAUACGAUGAAAGGUGGCCUCUAUUUAUAAGCUAUCGUUGAAGGAGGGG
Molecule: ribosomal RNA, 237 nt
Filed under: uncultured bacterium
Lineage: Bacteria
Description: partial 16S ribosomal RNA
Rfam family: Bacterial small subunit ribosomal RNA
Source: RNAcentral